This 500-nucleotide ribosomal RNA is filed under the name uncultured bacterium. Its description in RNAcentral is "partial 16S ribosomal RNA". It matches the Rfam family "Bacterial small subunit ribosomal RNA", at positions 29 to 523 of the family's 1533-position model. The record is from RNAcentral.
AUUGAACGCUGGCGGCAUGCCUUACACAUGCAAGUCGAACGGCAGCACGGACUUCGGUCUGGUGGCGAGUGGCGAACGGGUGAGUAAUGCAUCGGAACGUACCCGGUAGUGGGGGAUAACUACCCGAAAGGGUGGCUAAUACCGCAUAUACUGUGCGCAGGAAAGCAGGGGACCUUCGGGCCUUGUGCUACCGGAGCGGCCGAUGUCAGAUUAGGUAGUUGGUGGGGGAACGGCCUACCAAGCCUGCGAUCUGUAGCGGGUCUGAGAGGAUGAUCCGCCACACUGGGACUGAGACACGGCCCAGACUCCUACGGGAGGCAGCAGUGGGGAAUUUUGGACAAUGGGCGCAAGCCUGAUCCAGCCAUGCCGCGUGAGUGAAGAGGGCCUUCGGGUUGUAAAGCUCUUUCGGACGGAAAGAAAUCGCGCAGGCUAAUAUCCUGUGCGGAUGACGGUACCGUCAUAAGAAGCACCGGCUAACUACGUGCCAGCCGCCGCCGUAA